GACGAACGCUGGCGGCGUGCUUAACACAUGCCAGUCGAACGGAAAGGCCCGGCUUUGGUGGGUUGCUCGAGUGGCGAACGGGUGGGUAACACGUGGGUAACCUGCCCUGGACUUUGGGUUAACUUCAGGAAACUGGGGCUAAUACCGGAUAGGAGCUCCGGCUGCAUGGGGGGGGUGGGAAAGUUUCGGCGGUUGGGGAUGGACUCGCGGCUUAUCAGCUUGUUGGUGGGGUAGUGGCUUACCAAGGCUUUGACGGGUAGCCGGCCUGAGAGGGUGACCGGCCACAUUGGGACUGAGAUACGGCCCAGACUCCUACGGGAGGCAGCAGUGGGGAAUAUUGCACAAUGGGCGGAAGCCUGAUGCAGCAACGCCGCGUGCGGGAUGACGGCCUUCGGGUUGUAAACCGCCUUCGCCUGUGACGAAGCGUGAGUGACGGUAAUGGGUAAAGAAGCACCGGCUAACUACGUG
Molecule: ribosomal RNA, 468 nt
Filed under: uncultured bacterium
Lineage: Bacteria
Description: partial 16S ribosomal RNA
Rfam family: Bacterial small subunit ribosomal RNA
Source: RNAcentral